UGGUGGGGUAAAGGCCUACCAAGGCGACGAUCCAUAGCUGGUCUGAGAGGAUGAUCAGCCACACUGGGACUGAGACACGGCCCAGACUCCUACGGGAGGCAGCAGUGGGGAAUAUUGGACAAUGGGCGCAAGCCUGAUCCAGCCAUGCCGCGUGAGUGAUGAAGGCCCUAGGGUUGUAAAGCUCUUUCAGCGAGGAGGAUAAUGACGUUACUCGCAGAAGAAGCCCCGGCUAACUUCGUGCCAGCAGCCGCGGUAAUACGAAGGGGGCUAGCGUUGUUCGGAAUCACUGGGCGUAAAGCGCACGUAGGCGGACUUUUAAGUCAGGGGUGAAAUCCCGGGGCUCAACCCCGGAACUGCCUUUGAUACUGGAAGUCUUGAGUCCGAGAGAGGUGAGUGGAACUCCGAGUGUAGAGGUGAAAUUCGUAGAUAUUCGGAAG
RNAcentral lists this ribosomal RNA (437 nucleotides) under Labrenzia sp. 06-027339. RNAcentral's name for it is "bacterial SSU rRNA". It matches the Rfam family "Bacterial small subunit ribosomal RNA", at positions 250 to 704 of the family's 1533-position model. Lineage: Bacteria; Pseudomonadati; Pseudomonadota; Alphaproteobacteria; Hyphomicrobiales; Stappiaceae. RNAcentral also lists the same sequence under 1 other name. The record is from RNAcentral.